UAGUCCACGCCCUAAACGAUGUACACUAGUUGUUGCUAUGCUAGACAUAGCAGUAAUGCAGUUAACACAUUAAGUGUACCGCCUGGGGAGUACGGUCGCAAGAUUAAAACUCAAAGGAAUAGACGGGGACCCGCACAAGCGGUGGAGCAUGUGGUUUAAUUCGACGAUACGCGAAGAACCUUACCUGGACUUGACAUAGUAAGAACUUUCUAGAGAUAGAUCGGUGUCUGCUUGCAGAAACUUAUAUACAGGUGCUGCACGGCUGUCGUCAGCACGUGUCGUGAGAUGUUGGGUUAAGUCCCGCAACGAGCGCAACCCUUGUCUUUAGUUGCCAUCAUUUAGUUGGGCACUCUAGAGAAACUGCCGGUGACAAACCGGAGGAAGGUAAGGAUGACGUCAAGUCAGCAUGCCCCUUACGCUCUGGGCUACACACGUGCUACAAUGGUCGUGACAAAGAGUUGCUAGUCUGCGAAGGCAAGCCAAUCUCAUAAACGC
RNAcentral lists this ribosomal RNA (495 nucleotides) under uncultured bacterium. RNAcentral's name for it is "bacterial SSU rRNA". It matches the Rfam family "Bacterial small subunit ribosomal RNA", at positions 791 to 1283 of the family's 1533-position model. The record is from RNAcentral.